GAGUUUGAUCGUGGCUCAGGACGAACGCUGGCGGCGUGCUUAACACAUGCAAGUCGAACGGAAAGGCCCUGCUUUUGUGGGGUGCUCGAGUGGCGAACGGGUGAGUAACACGUGAGUAACCUGCCCUUGACUUUGGAUAACUUCAGGAAACUGGGGCUAAUACCGGAUAGGAGCUCCUGCUGCAUGGUGGGGGUUGAAAGUUUCGGCGGUUGGGGAUGGACUCGCGGCUUAUCAGCUUUGUUGGUGGGGUAGUGGCUUACCAAGGCUUUGACGGGUAGCCGGCCUGAGAGGGUGACCGGCCACAUUGGGACUGAGAUACGGCCCAGACUCCUACGGGAGGCAGCAGUGGGGAAUAUUGCACAAU
RNAcentral lists this ribosomal RNA (364 nucleotides) under uncultured microorganism. RNAcentral describes it as "bacterial SSU rRNA". It matches the Rfam family "Bacterial small subunit ribosomal RNA", at positions 9 to 372 of the family's 1533-position model. The record is from RNAcentral.